This 995-nucleotide small RNA is filed under the name Pongo abelii (Sumatran orangutan). Its description in RNAcentral is "retained intron". Lineage: Eukaryota; Metazoa; Chordata; Mammalia; Primates; Hominidae. The record is from RNAcentral.
AUGCGCCUCGGAGCUGGCGUCAACCAGCGAAGGCUGAACCCGCCUCCGGGAUCCUCGCCGAGCUGGGAGUUAGGAUCCGAGGGGACCAAGAGGGAUAAGAAAACUUCUCUGGGUGCCCACUUGGUACUGAGCGCCCUUGGGAGGGCUCUGGAGAAGACCAUCGCCUUCCAGGGGAAGGAAACUGAGGUCCAGAAAAGUUAUGACUCGCCCCAAGGGGAUUUCCUGGCAGGACGUGAAGGGGAAGGGGCCCACCGUGGAGUAACCCUCACUGGAGAAUCCAGAGACACGCCGCUUUUUGGAUGCCUCCUACGCCUGGCGGGAGUCUUGUCUGAGCUGGCACCACCACACGGCCCACGACAUCUUCGCAGAGAAGCCUGUGGACCCUCUGCCAGGCUCCGCAAGAGGUCAGGACAGGGCAGUGUGUUCACAAGGCCAGUUUCUGAUCGUCCGCCUUGAGGGUGAGGACCAGUAGGCAGCUUCCAAGAUGGGUGAAAGGAAAGGGGUCAACAAGUACUAUCCUCCAGACUUCAACCCUGAGAAGCAUGGCUCUCUCAACCGAUACCACAACAGCCACCCACUUCGGGAGCGGGCUCGGAAGCUGUCACAGGGCAUCCUCAUCAUCCGAUUCGAAAUGCCGUAUAACAUCUGGUGCGAUGGCUGCAAGAACCACAUCGGCAUGGGUGUUCGUUACAACGCAGAAAAGAAGAAGGUGGGCAAUUACUACACAACCCCGAUCUACAGGUUCCGGAUGAAAUGCCACCUCUGUGUCAACUACAUCGAGAUGCAGACGGACCCCGCCAACUGCGACUACGUGAUCGUGAGUGGCGCCCAGCGCAAGGAGGAGCGCUGGGACAUGGCGGACAAUGAGCAGGUGCUGACCACAGGUGAGCGCCACCCACUUACCUGCCUGGGGGCCCUGGCCCUGAGUCUGCGCUGGGGCCCCCAAAGCCCAGCCGAGCUCUGGUCGUUGCAGAGCAUGAGAAGAAGCAGAAGCU